Escherichia coli str. K-12 substr. MG1655 is the source of this 81-nucleotide non-coding RNA. The record is from Rfam. Lineage: Bacteria; Pseudomonadati; Pseudomonadota; Gammaproteobacteria; Enterobacterales; Enterobacteriaceae.
GUUAUGAUGGCGUCGCUAGCCUCAGUAAAUCCUUACUCCGGCGGUGCGCAACCCGUGCGCGUGAACCACUAUCUGAAUGCU